Molecule: non-coding RNA, 2068 nt
Organism: Callithrix jacchus (white-tufted-ear marmoset)
Lineage: Eukaryota; Metazoa; Chordata; Mammalia; Primates; Cebidae
Source: RefSeq, a predicted model, not a curated record
ACCAGCCGUGAAAAUCUCUAGAAGAUGAUGGUGUUCUUUAAAACACUUCGAAAUAAUGGGAAGAAAACCACCGCUGGGCUUUGCCUGCUGACCUGGGGAGGCCAUUGGCUGUAUGGAAAACACUGUGAGCAGCUGGGACUAUGGGUGUUUGGCAAUCAACUCAUUCCUCCCAAUGCACAAAUGAAGAAGGCAACUGUUUUUCUCAAUCCUGCAACUUGCAAAGGCAAAGCCAGGACUCUAUUUGAAAGAAAUGCUGCCCCAAUUUUACAUUUAUCCGGCAUGGAUGUGACUACUGUUAGGAUAGAUUACGAGGGACGAGCCGAGGAACUCCUGGACCUGAUGGAAAACACAGAUGUGAGCAUUGUUGCAGGAGGACACGGGACAGGCAGGAGGUCGUAACUGGACUUCUUCGACGACAGAUGAGGCUACCUUCAGUAAGAUUCCCAUUGGAUUUAUCCCACUGGGAAAGACCAGCAGUUUGAGUCAUACCCUCUUUGCCGAAAGUGGAAACAAAGUCCAACAUGUUACUGAUGCCACGCUUGCCAUUGUGAGAGGAGAGACAGUUACACUUGAAGUCCUGCAGAUCAAGGGGGAAAAGGAGCAGCCUGUGUUUGCAGUGACCGGCCUUCGAUGGGGAUCGUACUGGUGUCUUGGGCCUCUAAAAACCAAAGCAGCCCACGUUUUCAGCAGACUCAUCAAGCCUCUGUCUCGUACACGGGACCUACAGAGAGACCUCCCAGCGAACCAGAAGAGACACCUGUACAACGGCCUUCUUUGUACAGGAGAAUAUUACGAAGGUUUGCAUCCUUCUGGGCACAACCACAGGAUGCCCUUUCCCAAGAGGUGAGCCCAGAGGUCUGGAAAGAUGGGCAGCUGUCCACCAUUGAACUGUCCAUCACAACACGGAACAACCAUCUUGACCCAACUAGCAAGGAAGAUUUUAUGAACAUCUGCAUUGAACCUGACUCCAUCAGCAAAGGAGACUUUGUGACUAUAGGAAGUCGAAAGGUGAGGAACCCCAAGCGGCAUGCUGAGGGCAUGGAGUAUCUCCAAGCCAGCCAGUGCACUUUGCUUGUCCCCGAGGGGGCCGGGGGCUCUUUUAGCAUCGACAGUGAGGAGUAUGAAGCAAUGCCUGUGGAGGUGAAACUGUUCCCCAGAAAGCUGCAGUUCUUCUGUGAUCCUAGGAAGAGAGAGAUGCUGGCAAGCCCCACUCAGUGAGCAGGCAGAAGAUAAGUGCUCUGUGACCACACUUUAGGCCACCGGUGGGACCAAAAGGAAACAGGAGCCUCAACCAUCCCAACAGUGUUGUCAGAGGGUCCCAAGGGCAUUUUCAGGCAAGUACCCCUCUGCCCUCUCCAGCAGUGCUUCCCAGUGUGCUCUGUCACCUGCUUUGCAAUCAGCUUUGUUCGUGCAUGUUUUAUUUUGGUGUGACGGUCGACCCUCCUAAACACGAACUUUCCUCAGGCUGGUUCAAGAUGGAAAAAGACUUCCUUCUGAUUUCUUCCGUAAUGCAACCACAGUGGAGAGCCCACAGUGGGCUUAGCCUGCCUAAGCCCUUCCAUUCUUGUUCUGUUCCUUGACCAUGCUGGUAAUUCCGGGGAAAGUGCCUUACUUCCCUGGUGACCCUUUCCUACUUCUAGGCUCCUCCAUGGGUGCUGCUAUUUUGUGAGCUCCGGCUUCUGUUUAGCUUUUAUUUCAGUUCUCUAUCCUCAGUCCAGAAAUGUAUGUGAGGUUGUUUCCACCUCCAGCCAUGGCUACAAUACUGUAAAAUGCUAGUUUUUAUUUUCUUAAGUAGUGCUUCCUAAACGGUUUGCAUGAGAGCCACCUGGGAUGCAUGUUGAAAAUUUGUUUGGGGUCCACCCCAAACCCAAUAACCCAAUUUGGGGAAGGGGCCCAGGAGUGUGCAUUUUUUUACAAGUCGGCCACCCUUCCCAGGUGAUUCUGUAAGUUGUCCCUCAACCAUACUUGGAGAAAUAAUAGUGUUUUAGAAAACAGUGGUCCACAAAGUGUUCUGCUCAUGUGCCCCCAAAAGUGUUUGAAAAAUCAUGUAUCCCCUCACCCAUCUAAG